RNAcentral lists this long non-coding RNA (538 nucleotides) under Mus spicilegus (steppe mouse). RNAcentral's name for it is "lncRNA (ENSMSIG00000000153.1)". Lineage: Eukaryota; Metazoa; Chordata; Mammalia; Rodentia; Muridae. The record is from RNAcentral.
GUUGAAGUAGUUUCCAGAAACCAGGGUUCAAAAAAGGACAUCAUCACUCCUGGGAUGGUGACAUGCUAAUACUGUGUCUCCUGCUCUUCCUACAGCUCGACCAUUAUCCUGCUGUGGGUUACCAUCUACCCAGCUCCUCUGAUACGCUCUUCAAUUCUCCCAAGUCGCUCUUCCUUGGAAAAGUUAUAGUGUCUCCAGUGUUCAUCCCACAGUCUCAUCAGUGACAUCAGGAAAGGCUGCAGUUACAACUCAGUGGCCGUGCAUUUGCCUAGCACAAGUGAGACCCCAGCACCACAAGUAAAUCAUAGGGCCUUAUGAGUGCCAUACUAUUGUGAUUUAUAACAUGUAUAGCUAAGUAUACAUGCUAUUGUUUUCAUCUGGACAUGAUGGCUGCCUUCCGCUAAUUCCUCAGCUGGGGUCUCAAAGCUUCCAUACCCAGUGUAGCUGCAUUUCAGGUACUGAUUUUGUACCUCUUUUUUUUUUAUGAUUUCUAACUCAUUUUAAUAAAUUUUAUGUGUGUCUAUGUGUGUAUCUCUCU